GGAUGGGAUGGUUCAGUGGUAGAAUGCUCGCCUGCCACGCGGGCGGCCCGGGUUCGAUUCCCAGCCGAUGCA
RNAcentral lists this transfer RNA (72 nucleotides) under Cordylochernes scorpioides. RNAcentral's name for it is "tRNA-Gly". The stretch from base 9 to 64 matches the Rfam family "tRNA", at positions 8 to 63 of the family's 71-position model. From Rfam's summary of the family: Transfer RNA (tRNA) molecules are approximately 80 nucleotides in length. Their secondary structure includes four short double-helical elements and three loops (D, anti-codon, and T loops). The record is from RNAcentral. Lineage: Eukaryota; Metazoa; Arthropoda; Arachnida; Pseudoscorpiones; Chernetidae.